Lycium ferocissimum is the source of this 575-nucleotide long non-coding RNA. RefSeq lists it as uncharacterized. NCBI's taxonomy places the organism in Eukaryota, Viridiplantae, Streptophyta, Magnoliopsida, Solanales, Solanaceae. The record is from RefSeq and is a predicted model, not a curated record. The transcript is spliced from 2 exons.
UAUGUUGCUGACGCAACAUGUUGCCAGAUAACCGUGUCAGGCGUAUUCCAGUAGUUGAUCAUACUGGUACGAUAGGGAUGGGGCGUCCAUUGGAGAGUUGUCCGUGCUGCUGCAACUUGCAAGUGAGCAUGGGGAUGAGCUGAACCCUUUGAAUGCUUACAUACAAGGAUGUCUAGAUGAUGAUGGCAAUAAAUAAAUGGAUCAAUUGCUUAAUCAUGGUUAAUACUGUUGAUACGGAAUAUAUAUGCAUCAUUUCUGUGGCAUUGGAUGCGGAUUGGUGUUGGUUUCUCAACUAGAGUAUAUUGACAAGUCUCUGCCUGUGGCAACAAUUCCUUUUACUCCUCAACUAGAAAUUACAUAUGCAGGCUUAUGUAAUAUUGCCUCUGUUAAGUUUUCGGAUGACUGAUUGGUUGCUUCAAUGGAGAUAACACAACAAAUUGUUGGAGCCUUGAUGGUUGUGAAACCUAUUAUGUCUUGUGAGUGUGAACAAAUCAAUAAAGUCCGACACAACAAGAACUUUUGGAACUCCAACAUGUUGUGUGGGAGCUUCACAUAUAGAAAAUUUUCAAGUUUCG